RNAcentral lists this transfer RNA (73 nucleotides) under Anneissia japonica. RNAcentral describes it as "tRNA-Sec". It matches the Rfam family "tRNA". From Rfam's summary of the family: Transfer RNA (tRNA) molecules are approximately 80 nucleotides in length. Their secondary structure includes four short double-helical elements and three loops (D, anti-codon, and T loops). The record is from RNAcentral. Lineage: Eukaryota; Metazoa; Echinodermata; Crinoidea; Comatulida; Comatulidae.
GUCUCCGUGGUCUAAUGGUUAUGACGCUCGCCUUCACAGCGAGAGGUCGCAGGUUCGUGUCCCGCCAGAGGCA